GUUUUCGUGGCCUAGUGGUUAGGGCGUCUGUCUUACAAACUGGAUCUCGCCGUCUAUGAUGUGUGGGUUUUCCAAUGGAUCACAGAAGAUCCCCGGUUCAAUCCCGGGCGGAAACA
This is a non-coding RNA of Xylaria nigripes, 116 nucleotides long. The record is from the annotation of a GenBank genome assembly. Lineage: Eukaryota; Fungi; Ascomycota; Sordariomycetes; Xylariales; Xylariaceae.